GGUUAAGCGACUAAGCGUACACGGUGGAUGCCCUGGCAGUCAGAGGCGAUGAAGGACGUGCUAAUCUGCGAAAAGCGUCGGUAAGGUGAUAUGAACCGUUAUAACCGGCGAUGUCCGAAUGGGGAAACCCAGUGCAAUUCGUUGCACUAUCGUUAACUGAAUACAUAGGUUAACGAGGCGAACCGGGGGAACUGAAACAUCUAAGUACCCCGAGGAAAAGAAAUCAACCGAGAUUCCCCCAGUAGCGGCGAGCGAACGGGGAGCAGCCCAGAGUCUGAAUCAGCUUGUGUGUUAGUGGAACGGUCUGGAAAGUCCGACGGUACAGGGUGAUAGUCCCGUACACCAAAAUGCACAGGCUGUGAACUCGAAGAGUAGGGCGGGACACGUGGUAUCCUGUCUGAAUAUGGGGGGACCAUCCUCCAAGGCUAAAUACUCCUGACUGACCGAUAGUGAACCAGUACCGUGAGGGAAAGGCGAAAAGAACCCCGGCGAGGGGAGUGAAAAAGAACCUGAAACCGUGUACGUACAAGCAGUGGGAGCACCUUCGGGUGUGACUGCGUACCUUUUGUAUAAUGGGUCAGCGACUUAUAUUCUGUAGCAAGGUUAACCGUAUAGGGGAGCCGCAGGGAAACCGAGUCUUAACUGGGCGUUAAGUUGCAGGGUAUAGACCCGAAACCCGGUGAUCUAGCCAUGGGCAGGUUGAAGGUUGGGUAACACUAACUGGAGGACCGAACCGACUAAUGUUGAAAAAUUAGCGGAUGACUUGUGGCUGGGGGUGAAAGGCCAAUCAAACCGGGAGAUAGCUGGUUCUCCCCGAAAGCUAUUUAGGUAGCGCCUCGUGAAUUCAUCUUCGGGGGUAGAGCACUGUUUCGGCUAGGGGGUCAUCCCGACUUACCAACCCGAUGCAAACUACGAAUACCGAAGAAUGUUAUCACGGGAGACACACGGCGGGUGCUAACGUCCGUCGUGAAGAGGGAAACAACCCAGACCGCCAGCUAAGGUCCCAAAGUCAUGGUUAAGUGGGAAACGAUGUGGGAAGGCACAGACAGCCAGGAUGUUGGCUUAGAAGCAGCCAUCAUUUAAAGAAAGCGUAAUAGCUCACUGGUCGAGUCGGCCUGCGCGGAAGAUGUAACGGGGCUAAACCAUGCACCGAAGCUGCGGCAGCGACACUAUGUGUUGUUGGGUAGGGGAGCGUUCUGUAAGCCUGCGAAGGUGACCUGUGAGGGUUGCUGGAGGUAUCAGAAGUGCGAAUGCUGACAUAAGUAACGAUAAAGCGGGUGAAAAGCCCGCUCGCCGGAAGACCAAGGGUUCCUGUCCAACGUUAAUCGGGGCAGGGUGAGUCGACCCCUAAGGCGAGGCCGAAAGGCGUAGUCGAUGGGAAACAGGUUAAUAUUCCUGUACUUGGUGUUACUGCGAAGGGGGGACGGAGAAGGCUAUGUUAGCCGGGCGACGGUUGUCCCGGUUUAAGCAUGUAGGCUGGUUAUCCAGGCAAAUCCGGAUAAUCAAGGCUGAGGUGUGAUGACGAGGCACUACGGUGCUGAAGUAACAAAUGCCCUGCUUCCAGGAAAAGCCUCUAAGCAUCAGGUAACAUCAAAUCGUACCCCAAACCGACACAGGUGGUCAGGUAGAGAAUACCAAGGCGCUUGAGAGAACUCGGGUGAAGGAACUAGGCAAAAUGGUGCCGUAACUUCGGGAGAAGGCACGCUGGUGUGUAGGUGAAGUCCCUGCGGAUGGAGCUGAGACCAGUCGAAGAUACCAGCUGGCUGCAACUGUUUAUUAAAAACACAGCACUGUGCAAACACGAAAGUGGACGUAUACGGUGUGACGCCUGCCCGGUGCCGGAAGGUUAAUUGAUGGGGUUAUCCGUAAGGAGAAGCUCUUGAUCGAAGCCCCGGUAAACGGCGGCCGUAACUAUAACGGUCCUAAGGUAGCGAAAUUCCUUGUCGGGUAAGUUCCGACCUGCACGAAUGGCGUAAUGAUGGCCAGGCUGUCUCCACCCGAGACUCAGUGAAAUUGAACUCGCUGUGAAGAUGCAGUGUACCCGCGGCAAGACGGAAAGACCCCGUGAACCUUUACUAUAGCUUGACACUGAACAUUGAGCCUUGAUGUGUAGGAUAGGUGGGAGGCUUUGAAGCGUGGACGCCAGUCUGCGUGGAGCCAACCUUGAAAUACCACCCUUUAAUGUUUGAUGUUCUAACGUUGGCCCCUUACCGGGGUUGCGGACAGUGUCUGGUGGGUAGUUUGACUGGGGCGGUCUCCUCCCAAAGCGUAACGGAGGAGCACGAAGGUUAGCUAAUCCUGGUCGGACAUCAGGAGGUUAGUGCAAUGGCAUAAGCUAGCUUGACUGCGAGCGUGACGGCGCGAGCAGGUGCGAAAGCAGGUCAUAGUGAUCCGGUGGUUCUGAAUGGAAGGGCCAUCGCUCAACGGAUAAAAGGUACUCCGGGGAUAACAGGCUGAUACCGCCCAAGAGUUCAUAUCGACGGCGGUGUUUGGCACCUCGAUGUCGGCUCAUCACAUCCUGGGGCUGAAGUAGGUCCCAAGGGUAUGGCUGUUCGCCAUUUAAAGUGGUACGCGAGCUGGGUUUAGAACGUCGUGAGACAGUUCGGUCCCUAUCUGCCGUGGGCGCUGGAGAAUUGAGGGGGGCUGCUCCUAGUACGAGAGGACCGGAGUGGACGCAUCACUGGUGUUCGGGUUGUCAUGCCAAUGGCAUUGCCCGGUAGCUAAAUGCGGAAGAGAUAAGUGCUGAAAGCAUCUAAGCACGAAACUUGCCCCGAGAUGAGUUCUCCCUGAGACUUUAAGUCUCCUGAAGGAACGUUGAAGACGACGACGUUGAUAGGCCGGGUGUGUAAGCGCAGCGAUGCGUUGAGCUAACCGGUACUAAUGAACCGUGAGGCUUAACCUU
RNAcentral lists this ribosomal RNA (2902 nucleotides) under Klebsiella pneumoniae. Its description in RNAcentral is "23S ribosomal RNA". It matches the Rfam family "Bacterial large subunit ribosomal RNA". Lineage: Bacteria; Pseudomonadati; Pseudomonadota; Gammaproteobacteria; Enterobacterales; Enterobacteriaceae. The record is from RNAcentral.